CCAACCUGAGCAUUUUCAGGUAGAAUAGCAAUCUCAACAAGGUUAUCUAUACGGGAUGAUAGGGUUCUUCUAAGAGAAGAAGAAAAAGAAAGUGAAGAUGUUAGAUUUAUUAUUUCAGUAGGGGUAGGUUGUUCAACUACGAUUUGUACGGAUGACGUAUGAGUUCUGCAAGACAUUUUAUGGAAAAGAUUUCUCCUUACUCACCUUUGAAUAAUGUAUUAUACAUGUAUCUUAGGCUCUGAUACCAAUUGAGACUAGGAGCCCCUUG
RNAcentral lists this unclassified non-coding RNA (268 nucleotides) under Hevea brasiliensis (rubber tree). The record is from RNAcentral. Lineage: Eukaryota; Viridiplantae; Streptophyta; Magnoliopsida; Malpighiales; Euphorbiaceae.